GUGCCAGCCGCCGCGGUAAUACGUAGGGUGCGAGCGUUAAUCGGAAUUACUGGGCGUAAAGCGUGCGCAGGCGGUUCGUUAAGUCUGAUGUGAAAGCCCCGGGCUCAACCUGGGAAUGGCAUUGGAAACUGGCGGGCUGGAGUAUGGCAGAGGGGGGUGGAAUUCCACGUGUAGCAGUGAAAUGCGUAGAGAUGUGGAGGAACACCGAUGGCGAAGGCAACCCCCUGGGCCAAUACUGACGCUCAGGCACGAAAGCGUGGGGAGCAAACAGGAUUAGAUACCCUGGUAGUCCACGCCCUAAACGAUGAUCACUGGGUGUUGGGGAAGCGAUUCCUUGGUACCGUAGCUAACGCGUGAAGUGAUCCGCCUGGGGAGUACGGUCGCAAGAUUAAAACUCAAAUGAAUUGACGG
This 411-nucleotide ribosomal RNA is filed under the name uncultured bacterium. Its description in RNAcentral is "bacterial SSU rRNA". It matches the Rfam family "Bacterial small subunit ribosomal RNA", at positions 505 to 916 of the family's 1533-position model. The record is from RNAcentral.